CAGAGACCUCAAGCGUUAUCCGGAAUCAUUGGGCGUAAAGCGUACCGAUAGGUCGUUUAUAAAGUCUUGGGUAAAAGCCGGAAGCUCAACUUCCGCGUUUGCUUAAGAUACUUAUAGACUAGAGGGGCAAAGAGGUGCUUGGAACCAACGGUGUAGUAGUGAAAUGCGUUGAUAUCGUUGGGAACACCGAAAGCGAAGGCAGAGCACUGGGUGCCACCUGACACUGCUAGGACGAAAGCGUGGGGAGCGAAUGGGAUU
RNAcentral lists this ribosomal RNA (258 nucleotides) under uncultured bacterium. RNAcentral's name for it is "partial 16S ribosomal RNA". It matches the Rfam family "Bacterial small subunit ribosomal RNA", at positions 526 to 779 of the family's 1533-position model. The record is from RNAcentral.